Molecule: ribosomal RNA, 852 nt
Filed under: uncultured Oxalobacteraceae bacterium
Lineage: Bacteria; Pseudomonadati; Pseudomonadota; Betaproteobacteria; Burkholderiales; Oxalobacteraceae
Description: bacterial SSU rRNA
Rfam family: Bacterial small subunit ribosomal RNA
Source: RNAcentral
GGCCUAACACAUGCAAGUCGAACGGCAGCGCGGGGCAACCUGGCGGCGAGUGGCGAACGGGUGAGUAAUAUAUCGGAACGUACCCUGGAGUGGGGGAUAACGUAGCGAAAGUUACGCUAAUACCGCAUACGAUCUAAGGAUGAAAGUGGGGGCUUCGCAAGAACCUCAUGCUCCUGGAGCGGCCGAUAUCUGAUUAGCUAGUUGGUAGGGUAAAAGCCUACCAAGGCUUCGAUCAGUAGCUGGUCUGAGAGGACGACCAGCCACACUGGAACUGAGACACGGUCCAGACUCCUACGGGAGGCAGCAGUGGGGAAUUUUGGACAAUGGGCGCAAGCCUGAUCCAGCAAUGCCGCGUGAGUGAAGAAGGCCUUCGGGUUGUAAAGCUCUUUUGUCAGGGAAGAAACGGUGAGGGCUAAUAUCCCUUGCUAAUGACGGUACCUGAAGAAUAAGCACCGGCUAACUACGUGCCAGCAGCCGCGGUAAUACGUAGGGUGCAAGCGUUAAUCGGAAUUACUGGGCGUAAAGCGUGCGCAGGCGGUUUUGUAAGUUUGUCGUGAAAGCCCCGGGCUCAACCUGGGAAUUGCGAUGAAGACUGCAAGGCUUGAAUCUGGCAGAGGGGGGUAGAAUUCCACGUGUAGCAGUGAAAUGCGUAGAGAUGUGGAGGAACACCGAUGGCGAAGGCAGCCCCCUGGGUCAAGAUUGACGCUCAUGCACGAAAGCGUGGGGAGCAAACAGGAUUAGAUACCCUGGUAGUCCACGCCCUAAACGAUGUCUACUAGUUGUCGGGUUUUAAUUAACUUGGUAACGCAGCUAACGCGUGAAGUAGACCGCCUGGGGAGUACGGUCGCAAGA